GACGAACGCUGGCGGCGUGCCUAAUACAUGCAAGUUGAGCGCUGAAGGUUGGUACUUGUACCAACUGGAUGAGCAGCGAACGGGUGAGUAACGCGUGGGGAAUCUGCCUUUGAGCGGGGGACAACAUUUGGAAACGAAUGCUAAUACCGCAUAAAAACUUUAAACACAAGUUUUAAGUUUGAAAGAUGCAAUUGCAUCACUCAAAGAUGAUCCCGCGUUGUAUUAGCUAGUUGGUGAGGUAAAGGCUCACCAAGGCGAUGAUACAUAGCCGACCUGAGAGGGUGAUCGGCCACAUUGGGACGGAGACACGGCCCAAAGUCCUACGGGAGGCAGCAGUAGGGAAUCUUCGGCAAUGGACGAAAGUCUGACCGAGCAACGCCGCGUGAGUGAAGAAGGUGUUCGGAUCGUAAAACUCGGUUGGUAGAGAAGAACGUUGGUGAGAGUGGAAAGCGCAUCAAGUGACGGUAACUACCCAGAAAGGGACGGCUAACUACGU
Molecule: ribosomal RNA, 496 nt
Filed under: uncultured bacterium
Lineage: Bacteria
Description: partial 16S ribosomal RNA
Rfam family: Bacterial small subunit ribosomal RNA
Source: RNAcentral